CCACACAACGUUUCAUUCGUUUCUUCCAUUGCUCGAGGCAGUGCUGGAAGUCUAUUUUCGUAAGACCAUUCAGGAGUUCCGCCGACUUUUGUUUCACCUCUUCCAUCGACUCAAACCGGAUUCCUUUUAAGGCAGACUUUAUCUUCGGAAACAAGUAAAAGUCGCAGGGUGCCAAGUCGGGUAAGACGCGUGUUCGAGUACUGGAGUGCCUUAAGCGGCC
Non-coding RNA from Cinara cedri, 220 nucleotides. NCBI's taxonomy places the organism in Eukaryota, Metazoa, Arthropoda, Insecta, Hemiptera, Aphididae. The record is from the annotation of a GenBank genome assembly.